AGAGUUUGAUCCUGGCUCAGGACGAACGCUGGCGGCACGCUUAACACAUGCAAGUCGAACGAGAGAAGAGGAGCUUGCUUUUCUGAUCUAGUGGCGGACGGGUGAGUAACACGUGAGCAAUCUGCCUUUCAGAGGGGGAUACCGAUUGGAAACGAUCGUUAAUACCGCAUAACAUAAUUGAACCGCAUGAUUUGAUUAUCAAAGAUUUAUCGCUGAAAGAUGAGCUCGCGUCUGAUUAGCUAGUUGGUAAGGUAACGGCUUACCAAGGCGACGAUCAGUAGCCGGACUGAGAGGUUGAUCGGCCACAUUGGGACUGAGACACGGCCCAGACUCCUACGGGAGGCAGCAGUGGGGAAUAUUGCACAAUGGAGGAAACUCUGAUGCAGCGAUGCCGCGUGAGGGAAGAAGGUUUUAGGAUUGUAAACCUCUGUCUUCAGGGACGAAAAAAGACGGUACCUGAGGAGGAAGCUCCGGCUAACUACGUGCCAGCAGCCGCGGUAAUACGUAGGGAGCGAGCGUUGUCCGGAAUUACUGGGUGUAAAGGGAGCGUAGGCGGGAUCGCAAGUCAGAUGUGAAAACUAUGGGCUUAACCCAUAAACUGCAUUUGAAACUGUGGUUCUUGAGUGAAGUAGAGGUAAGCGGAAUUCCUAGUGUAGCGGUGAAAUGCGUAGAUAUUAGGAGGAACAUCAGUGGCGAAGGCGGCUUACUGGGCUUUAACUGACGCUGAGGCUCGAAAGCGUGGGGAGCAAACAGGAUUAGAUACCCUGGUAGUCCACGCCGUAAACGAUGAUUACUAGGUGUGGGGGGACUGACCCCUUCCGUGCCGCAGCAAACGCAAUAAGUAAUCCACCUGGGGAGUACGACCGCAAGGUUGAAACUCAAAGGUAUUGACGGGGGCCCGCACAAGCAGUGGAGUAUGUGGAUUAAUUCGAAGCAACGCGAAGAACCUUACCAGGUCUUGACAUCGUAUGCAUAGCUCAGAGAUGAGUGAAAUCUCUUCGGAGACAUAUAGACAGGUGGUGCAUGGUUGUCGUCAGCUCGUGUCGUGAGAUGUUGGGUUAAGUCCCGCAACGAGCGCAACCCUUACUGUUAGUUGCUACGCAAGAGCACUCUAGCAGGACUGCCGUUGACAAAACGGAGGAAGGUGGGGAUGACGUCAAAUCAUCAUGCCCCUUAUGACCUGGGCCUCACACGUACUACAAUGGCUGUCAACAGAGGGAAGCAAAGCCGCGAGGUGGAGCGAACCCCUAAAAGCAGUCUUAGUUCGGAUUGUAGGCUGCAACCCGCCUACAUGAAGUCGGAAUCGCUAGUAAUCGCAGAUCAGCAUGCUGCGGUGAAUACGUUCCCGGGCCUUGUACACACCACCCGUCACGCCAUGGGAGUCGGUAACACCCGAAGCCUGUAGUCUAACCGCAAGGAGGACGCAGUCGAAGGUGGGAUUGAUGACUGGGGUGAAGUCGUAACAAGGUA
This 1470-nucleotide ribosomal RNA is filed under the name metagenome. RNAcentral's name for it is "bacterial SSU rRNA". It matches the Rfam family "Bacterial small subunit ribosomal RNA". The record is from RNAcentral.